AAAAUACCAAAGCCAAAGAGAGAGAGAGAGAGAGAGAUGCCAGCGAAUAAAGUGCGUGUACAACAACUGAGUGUUCAAAGGAAAAAACAAAACUGUUCUUUCUCUUUUUCCUUUUUUUUUUCUCUUCCUUUU
Molecule: microRNA precursor, 132 nt
Filed under: Trypanosoma vivax Y486
Lineage: Eukaryota; Euglenozoa; Kinetoplastea; Trypanosomatida; Trypanosomatidae
Source: RNAcentral